AGACACGGUCCAGACUCCUACGGGAGGCAGCAGUGGGGAAUAUUGCACAAUGGGCGCAAGCCUGAUGCAGCCAUGCCGCGUGUAUGAAGAAGGCCUUCGGGUUGUAAAGUACUUUCAGCGGGGAGGAAGGCGAUGUGGUUAAUAACCGCAUNGAUUGACGUUACCCGCAGAAGAAGCACCGGCUAACUCCGUGCCAGCAGCCGCGGUAAUACGGAGGGUGCAAGCGUUAAUCGGAAUUACUGGGCGUAAAGCGCACNCAGGCGGUCUGUUAAGUCAGAUGUGAAAUCCCCGGGCUUAACCUGGGAACUGCAUUUGAAACUGGCAGGCUUGAGUCUCGUAGAGGGGGGUAGAAUUCCAGGUGUAGCGGUGAAAUGCGUAGAGAUCUGGAGGAAUACCGGUGGCGAAGGCGGCCCCCUGGACGAAGACUGACGCUCAGGUGCGAAAGC
This 446-nucleotide ribosomal RNA is filed under the name Pantoea sp. A-Se-D-1-2. Its description in RNAcentral is "bacterial SSU rRNA". It matches the Rfam family "Bacterial small subunit ribosomal RNA", at positions 322 to 760 of the family's 1533-position model. The record is from RNAcentral. Lineage: Bacteria; Pseudomonadati; Pseudomonadota; Gammaproteobacteria; Enterobacterales; Erwiniaceae.